AAAGUCGUAACAAGGUUUCCGUAGGUGAACCUGCGGAAGGAUCAUUACUGAGUAUGGGGGCCAAAGCCCCCGACUCCAACCCAAUGUCUACCAAUCCUAGUUGCUUCGGCGGGGCUACUACGGGCCUGGCCCCUAGUAGAUGGGGGGGAUUAUAACCCCCCAGGCCUCUGGCACCCGCCGGGGGGAACCAUAUCCAACUCGUAUCAAUAUAGUCUGAAGCUUUUGUAGUAAAUAAAAUAAAAACUUUCAACAACGGAUCUCUUGGUUCUG
This 270-nucleotide unclassified non-coding RNA is filed under the name Ascomycota sp. Its description in RNAcentral is "partial contains small subunit ribosomal RNA, internal transcribed spacer 1, and 5.8S ribosomal RNA". The stretch from base 1 to 47 matches the Rfam family "Eukaryotic small subunit ribosomal RNA", at positions 1785 to 1831 of the family's 1831-position model. The record is from RNAcentral. Lineage: Eukaryota; Fungi; Ascomycota.